Molecule: ribosomal RNA, 312 nt
Filed under: uncultured eukaryote
Lineage: Eukaryota
Description: partial 18S ribosomal RNA
Rfam family: Eukaryotic small subunit ribosomal RNA
Source: RNAcentral
CCCUUAGAUGUCCGGGGCCGCACGCGCGCUACACUGAAGGAAUCAGCGUGGCUUUCUCCCUGACCCGAAAGGGUUGGGAAACCCGUUGAAUCUCCUUCGUGAUAGGGAUUGGGGCUUGAAAUUGUUCCCCAUGAACGAGGAAUUCCCAGUAAGCGCAAGUCAUCAACUUGCGUUGAUUACGUCCCUGCCCUUUGUACACACCGCCCGUCGCUACUACCGAUUGAAUGGUUUAGUGAGGCCUUCGGAUCCGCGACUCGUUUUGUGGAGAAGUUGGACAAACUCAGUCAUUUAGAGGAAGUAAAAGUCGUAACA